Long non-coding RNA from Glycine soja, 809 nucleotides. RefSeq lists it as uncharacterized. The transcript is spliced from 3 exons. The record is from RefSeq and is a predicted model, not a curated record. Lineage: Eukaryota; Viridiplantae; Streptophyta; Magnoliopsida; Fabales; Fabaceae.
CGCAUUUCCACCUGUGUCUCCGGUUCGUUCCCGUUCUCAUCAUCUUUGUGUCGAAAAAUCAAAGCAAUGGGCACGAAUAGAAGCACCAAACAAAGAAAGAAAGCAUGUGAAAUCCAUGUCUUUCAAAUCAAAUAAGGGAUUCCAUUCUGUGAUUCACUCACUCAAUCUAUCAUUCUUACUUUCUAAUAUCCUAUUCCUAUAUCUACACCCACUAAUUCUCUUUCUCACAACCAGCUUUAGUCAUUUUGUGAUAAUACUCAUGCUAUUACUAUCAAUUUCUGCACUGCAACGGAGUUAAUUAUCUUUGCCUUUUCAGGUUAUGCAGGUUCUAUGGUCUAUGGUUCUAUCCAGAUAAGUUGCAAUUGUACUUACGAAAUUUCCUAAUUCAAUGAUGAGAAUCUAAUCUGCAACAAGAACAAAAGUGAUGGCUCCAAGUCGACAACACCUAGUCUUGCAUAUAUUGAGUCUAAUUAUCGCCUUUGUUAAAAAUUGGUUAUUGGAUAUUUUUUGGUCUAAACUGUAUAAGUAUCCUUUUCAGGGACAAUUAUGCUUGAAUGGUGAACACUCAUAUCAUAGUAGAGUUAGCUCUCUUAGCGGGAAAUUUUUUCAUACACAAGGCUGGUACUGAAACCUUGUUCGAAGGGAAUUAAGAAUGUAGUAUUUGAACUAAUCACUUGUUGAUUGUUAACUGGUCAAGGUUGUAGGUAACCAAAAAUCUUGAUUUUUCAUUGUAACUUUUAUUCAAAUUGUUGUUUAGGAGUUUGUAUGAAUGUUACCUGAGUCUUAGGAUUGUUACUAUUUUUAAUUUC